This 242-nucleotide ribosomal RNA is filed under the name uncultured bacterium. RNAcentral's name for it is "partial 16S ribosomal RNA". It matches the Rfam family "Bacterial small subunit ribosomal RNA", at positions 559 to 793 of the family's 1533-position model. The record is from RNAcentral.
CGUAAAGCGCAUGCAGGUGGUUUGUUAAGUUCAGAUGUGAAAGACCCGGGGCGUCAACCUCGGAAUUGCAUUUGAAACUAGGCAAACUAGAGUACUGUAGAGGGGGGUAGGAAUUUCAGGUGUAGCGGUGAAAUAGCGUAGAGAUCUGAAGGAAUACCGGUGGCGAAGGCGGCCCCCUCGGACAGAUACUGACACUCAGAUGCGAAAGCGUGGGGAGCAAACAGGAUUAGAUACCCUGGUAG